AGGGAAUCUUCCGCAAUGGGCGAAAGCCUGACGGAGCAACGCCGCGCGAGUGAUGAAGGUCUUCGGAUCGUAAAACUCUGUUAUUAGGGAAGAACAUAUGUGUAAGUAACUGUGCACAUCUUGACGGUACCUAAUCAGAAAGCCACGGCUAACUACGUGCCAGCAGCCGCGGUAAUACGUAGGUGGCAAGCGUUAUCCGGAAUUAUUGGGCGUAAAGCGCGCGUAGGCGGUUUUUUAAGUCUGAUGUGAAAGCCCACGGCUCAACCGUGGAGGGUCAUUGGAAACUGGAAAACUUGAGUGCAGAAGAGGAAAGUGGAAUUCCAUGUGUAGCGGUGAAAUGCGCAGAGAUAUGGAGGAACACCAGUGGCGAAGGCGACUUUCUGGUCUGUAACUGACGCUGAUGUGCGAAAGCGUGGGGAUCAAACAGGAUUAGAUACCCUGGUAGUCCACGCCGUAAACGAUGAGUGCUAAGUGUUAGGGGGUUUCCGCCCCUUAGUGCUGCAGCUAACGCAUUAAGCACUCCGCCUGGGGAGUACGACCGCAAGGUUG
This 549-nucleotide ribosomal RNA is filed under the name uncultured bacterium. RNAcentral's name for it is "bacterial SSU rRNA". It matches the Rfam family "Bacterial small subunit ribosomal RNA", at positions 356 to 896 of the family's 1533-position model. The record is from RNAcentral.